Rattus rattus (black rat) is the source of this 670-nucleotide long non-coding RNA. RefSeq lists it as uncharacterized. The record is from RefSeq and is a predicted model, not a curated record. NCBI's taxonomy places the organism in Eukaryota, Metazoa, Chordata, Mammalia, Rodentia, Muridae. The transcript is spliced from 3 exons.
CUAAGCACUGCCCAGAGCGGGAGAAAUAGUCUUCCUUAAGGCCCAUUUGGGUUGGAGAGGUUACUCCAACAUGUGUUCCUGAAGGAAGGAGCCUCAGGCUGUAACACCUACAGGUGAUGCAGAUCAAUGACACACACAAUUUCACACAUACUUGUAUAUUUGGAGAAGAGAUUGAAGGAAAAGGCAUCCAGCGACCGGCCUAAUUUGGGGACCAUUCCAUGGAUGGGCUCCAAGCCCUGGCACUAUUGCUGAUGCCAUGUUGUGCUUGCAUACAGGAACUUCACAUGGUUGUCAUCUGAGAGGCUCUAUCAGCAGACGCAUGAGACAGAUGCAAAUACUUACAGCCAAUCACUAGACUGAAAUCAGAGACUAUUAUGGAAAAGUUGGGGGAAGUAUUGAAGGAACUAAAGAGGAUGUCAACCCCAUAAGAAGACCAACAGAAUCAACUAACCAGACUCUUGGGAGCUCUAAGAGACUAAGCCACCAAGCAAAUAGCAUCCAUGGGUUGGUCCAUGGCUCUGGCAUAUAUAUAGUAGAGGACUGCCCAGUCUGACCUUAGUGGGAGAACAAGUGCCUAAUCCUGUAGAGAUUUGAUGCCCUAGGGAAGGAGGGUGCAGAGGGUGAGGUAGGGAUGAAGUGGGUGGAUGGGUGAGGGAGCACCCUCUCAGAG